GUCCACGCCCUAAACGAUGAGGACUGGCUGUCGGCGCUAUAGACGCGUCGGUAGCGAAGCUAACGCGUUAAGUUCUCCGCCUGGGGAGUACGGCCGCAAGGUUGAAACUCAAAGGAAUUGACGGGGGCCCGCACAAGCGGUGGAGCAUGUGGUUUAAUUCGAUGCAACGCGAAGAACCUUACCAUCCCUUGACAUCCUCAGAAUGAUCUGUAAUCGAUCAGUGCCUUCGGGAACUGAGUGACA
RNAcentral lists this ribosomal RNA (243 nucleotides) under uncultured bacterium. RNAcentral describes it as "partial 16S ribosomal RNA". It matches the Rfam family "Bacterial small subunit ribosomal RNA", at positions 793 to 1036 of the family's 1533-position model. The record is from RNAcentral.